RNAcentral lists this ribosomal RNA (467 nucleotides) under uncultured bacterium. RNAcentral's name for it is "partial 16S ribosomal RNA". It matches the Rfam family "Bacterial small subunit ribosomal RNA", at positions 29 to 507 of the family's 1533-position model. The record is from RNAcentral.
ACGAACGCUGGCGGCGUGCUUAACACAUGCCAGUCGAACGGAAAGGCCCUGCUUUUGUGGGGUGCUCGAGUGGCGAACGGGUGAGUAACACGUGAUUAACCUGCCCUUGACUUUGGGAUAACUUCAGGAAACUGGGGCUAAUACCGGAUAGGAGCUCCUGCUGCAUGUUGGGUGUUGGAAUGUUUCGGCUGUUGGGGAUUGACUCGCGGCUUAUCAGCUUGUUGGUGGGGUAGUUGCUUACCAAGGCUUUGACGGGUAGCCGUCCUGAGAGGGUGACCGGCGACAUUGGGACUGAGAUACGGCCCAGACUACUACGGGAGGCAGAAGUGGGGAAUAGUGCACAAUGGGAGGAAGACUGAUGAAGCAACGCCGCGUGCGGGAUGACGGCCUUCGGGUUGUAAAACGCUUUCGCCUGUGACGAAGCGUGAGUGACGGUAAUGGGUAAAGAAGCACCGGAUAACUACGUG